GAUGAACGCUGGCGGCGUGCCUAAUACAUGCAAGUCGAGCGAACAGACGAGGAGCUUGCUCCUCUGACGUUAGCGGCGGACGGGUGAGUAACACGUGGAUAACCUACCUAUAAGACUGGGAUAACUUCGGGACACCGGCGCUAAUACCGGAUAAUAUAUUGAACCGCAUGGUUCAAUAGUGAAAGACGGUUUUGCUGUCACUUAUAGAUGGUUCCGCGCCGCAUUAGCUAGUUGGUAAGGUACAGGCUUACCACGGCAAGGAUGCGUAGCCGACCUGAGAGGGUGAUCGGCCACCCUGGAACUGGGACACGGUCCAGACUCCUACGGGAGGCAGCAGUAGGGAAUCGUCCGCAAUGGGCGAAAGCCUGACGGAGCAACGCCGCGUGAGUGAUGAAGGUCUUCGGAUCGUAAAACUCUGUUAUUAGGGAAGAACAAAUGUGUAAGUAACUAUGCACGUCUUGACGGUACCUAAUCAGAAAGCCACGGCUAACUACGUG
This 497-nucleotide ribosomal RNA is filed under the name uncultured bacterium. RNAcentral's name for it is "partial 16S ribosomal RNA". It matches the Rfam family "Bacterial small subunit ribosomal RNA", at positions 28 to 507 of the family's 1533-position model. The record is from RNAcentral.